Molecule: long non-coding RNA, 149 nt
Organism: Rhagoletis zephyria (snowberry fruit fly)
Lineage: Eukaryota; Metazoa; Arthropoda; Insecta; Diptera; Tephritidae
Source: RefSeq, a predicted model, not a curated record
UAAAGAAGGUAAAGAGAAUAUGUUCAGCCUAACAGAUGACUAAACUUCCCAAUAAUGGCGAAGAUAUGAGUCUUUCCAUCUGUCUUUUGGUAUACCAACUGUAUGAAUUGAUCAAACUUUGAUUGUGUUUUCCCACAAUAUUAAAAUUU